CCCUCCCCGCGAUUCUAUUCUACGCCGCUAUAAUCAGUCGUGCGGCGUCGUCGGCGACCUUGCCGCCUGCGGCGCGGACCACGCGGUUAUUAUACAGCUAACCGGGGCUUUGAGCUACAGCCUUCUCUUGUGGGGAGGCAUCCCCGUCCUCUACUUCGUCGCUGCCCUCUGCUGCGCCUGGACUGGCGUGGAGUGGAGAUCCAUCCACCCGCACUUGCCACGAUCUCUUCCUUCUCGUAGUUGGUUGCGGAUUUGCUUACUUUGGUGCGCCGCCCGGCAAUCCAAACAAUCCUGCUUGGGUUCGAUUCGCUUCGCCUUCGUCUUCAGCGCUCAAGAUCAGUUUAGCCGAGGUGCCGGGCGCGGUUUGGCUGUCCGGAGGCUUUUAGAGUUACUGGAACCCCGAUGCCCCAAGUGAAGUCCAGCUACGAUGGCGCCGGCGGGGACUACAUUAAGUGGAUGUGCGGCGCCGGCGGCCGCCCGGGCGGCGCCAUGGCCAGCCUCCACCGCGGGGUGGGCUCCCUUGUUCGUGACAUCAGCGACCCCUGCCUCAAUCCCUCCCCAGUUAAGGUUGCUAUUGACCCUUAUAGUAAAUUAGUUCUGCUGUUUAGUAGUAGUACUAUAUACUAUGGAUUGCUUGAUAGGUAUCAAUACUCCAUGCCGGUGACAAUGCCAAUGUAUCUGUUGCUCCCUUGUCAGUGACAUUGGCUGACACCCCCAACCGGUGCCACUACACCGCUUGUAAGCCUUGUGUGAUGAUCAUUCUCGGCAAGGAAUGUAUUGGUCACAUUCCUUUAAUGACAUGGCACUAAUCACAUCUUGCAUAGUGAUAGCUCAUUGUUACUAUUUGGUAAUCAGUGCGCAUGGUAUAGAUGGUGCCUAGAGUAGCAGGGUUUAGACUAUCUCCAGCAACGUCCCCUAAAUUCUAUCCCCUAAAGGAAUAUUCUCUGUCCUAUACAGCACGCUCUAAAAGAUUCUAUUCUCUAUAUCUUUUUCAUCUCCAACAACGUCCCCUAAAUUCGGUCCUCUAUAUCUAUAGUGUACCGGAUUUUAUAAUACACAUUAUUUUUACAUGUCACUUAUAAAAAAUUAAUUAACUUAUGUUGCGAAAUAAAAAUACUUCUUACAAUACAUUUUCAUUUUAUAUACAAAUUACUCAUCGAUCAUAUUAUUUACAAAAAAAUGUAUUAUGUAUUUCCUAUCAUACGCACGGAAACAAAAAAUCAUUCAUGUGAUCCAAGAAUUAAUUAGAGACUAAUUAAUUUUUAAAACCGACUACAACCAAGCAAUAGCAGACAAAUUUGCAUGGCAUCUGCACGGCAUCUGACAAGCGCAGGAGAAAAAGUAGAGAGAGGAAGAGGCUGGACUGCAUGUGAGAGCAGGAUAGCGGAUGAACAAGUACGCUCUGGCUUUAGCGCUCGUCAAAGUCGUCCGCUAUUUUACAGUUCCAUUUACAGGUUGCUGCUGGAGCCGAUAGCGGACGUCUCAUCCUCUAAAUUUAGAGUACAGGACUAUUUAGGGGAAACAGAAUGCUGAAACCAGAAAGAUGGCACGCGUGUUUUGACAGUGACGGGAAGGCUAUAUGUUUCCGUAAAGCCCUUAAGUUCAUUGUCUUAGGAGGUGUGGAUCCUUCUAUUCGAGCGGAAGUUUGGGAAUUUCUUAUUGGCUGCUACACCUUAAGUACUACAGCGGAAUAUAGGGGAAAACUAAGAGCUGCUCGAAGGGAGAAAUAUCGUUAUUUAAUUAAGCAAUGCCAGAGCAUGCAUACAAGCAUUGGUACAGGUGAGCUUGCAUAUGCUGUUGGAUCAAAGCUGAUGGAUGUCAGGACCUUGCCCAAAGAAACUGAAGGUGGAGAAGUCAGCACAAGUCAGCAAGCUGAACAUGAAGUGCCUUGCAGUUUAGCAGAAAAUUCGAAUUUGAUUUAUGGUUCUGGUUGCACAACGCGGCCCCAUAAAAGGAAAAUUUGUAGUAAAUCAGCUGAAACAGUUGGUUUCAAUCAACAUAAUGAUAACUCUAGAGGUUCUGGAGAUUGUGAUGUCAUUGGUGAACCAAGGUAUGACAGUGAUGCCUUCAUCGAUUUUCCUUCCCUAACUGGUACAAACUUGGUCGCAAAUGGUGACGGGGAUAGCAAUGGAGUUGAAGAAAAUCCUUGCAAUUUCUUGGUCUCUGAACAUAGAGUAAGGCCCCAUGAUGAACACAUGCACAGCUUCCAGAUCAAUAAUAACAUAGAUCUCAUAAUAGAGUCAAAUACAUUCUCCAAUGAUAUAUUUCGACCUAGCAGUAGUGACUCAGCCAUCUUUCACUCAGAUGCGUACAAGCAUGAUAGAUGGUUAGACGAUACUGGCUAUAGUGAAGAAAUUAUAGAUUCCUUGAGGAUAUCUGAUGCACCAGAAUCAGAUUUAGUUGAUGGAAUGAAAUCAAAUGGUUCAAUAGCUGACAAAGAUAGAGUCUCUGAAUGGCUUUGGACACUGCAUCGAAUUGUGGUUGAUGUGGUGAGAACAGAUAGCCACCUUGAUUUCUAUGGAGAAUCAAGGAAUAUGGCUAGAAUGUCUGAUAUACUUGCUGUUUAUGCAUGGGUUGAUCCUUCCACUGGAUACUGUCAAGGUAUGAGUGAUCUGCUGUCACCUUUUGUUGUCAUAUAUGAGGAUGAUGCAGAUGCCUUUUGGUGCUUUGAGAUGCUACUGAGAAGGAUGCGUGAAAAUUUCCAGAUGGAGGGACCAACAGGAGUUAUGAAGCAAUUGCAAGCAUUGUGGAAGAUAAUGGAACUGACAGAUGCUGAAUUAUUUGAACAUUUUUCGGCAAUUGGUGCUGAAAGCCUUCAUUUUGCUUUUCGGAUGCUGCUAGUCCUUUUUCGUCGAGAGCUGUCCUUUGAGGAAUCACUUAUCAUGUGGGAGAUGAUGUGGGCUGCUGAUUUUGAUGAAGAAGCAGUCAGGCAUUUAGAAGAGAACUGCCUAGAACCAUUGCUAGUAGAUCUGAGCAAUGGCUUAUCAUCUGAAGUCAAAGAAGUGCAUCGGAUCAACAGUUCCACAAGAAGAAAACCCAGAACCAGGAAAUGCCAUAGUAGAAAUGGUGAAAUCUGUGGAGCUUGCCACCCUGGAAUGAAAUCUAGUACAAGAAAUCAUCUCUGUGGCUUGUCCGGUGCUACAAUAUGGGCAAGACCUCAGCAGAUGCCACAUCCAAGUGCAAGUGUGCUAGCAAAGGGUGGAGAUUAUGAACUUCCUAUAUUCUGUGUGGCGGCUAUCUUGAUAAUUAACCGCCAGAAGAUAAUAAGAGGGACUCACUCAAUAGAUGAUGCGAUCAAGAUGUUCAAUGAUAAUGUGCUCAAAAUAAAUGUAAAAAGAUGUGUACGCUUGGCAAUCAAGCUAAGGAAGAAGUACUUGUACAAGUCAUUGAAAGGUGGCUCUAGUGAUGAUAAAGAAAGCUGAAGAACCUGCACUUCCCUUGUAGAAAAAACUAGAUAUUUCUCCAUCAUGCAUUGCUAUCUAGGUGUGCUGGAUCAGUAUUGACCUGAAGUAUGGUACAUGUCCAAGAUCCGGCAUUAUUCAGGAUUGCAAGGCAAUCUGUACAUAUUAUACUUGAAAACAACAGAUGAAGCUGUGGAAUUAAAGAAAAGAAAUCAAGUCCACUGAAUGGUUGUAUUUCUGGUGGUGUCAUUGUUUUUUUAUUCCCAUUUGGCAGGGUAUCAUGUCCUCAAUUACUGUAUUUAUGAUAUCGAGGGUUUGACGGUAGAGUGGCUUGUGCAUGGCAUGCCUACCACGCCUAUAAAAGAAUGAAAAGUGAAAGUGUCUAGGCGUCUAGCUCCUAGUUGAGUUUUGGUGAUUAAUAGUAAUAUAAGAUUAUUGAAUUAUAAUGACUAAAGUGUGUUCGUAGAAAGAAUGAGUUAGGUCACGAUAAUAUAGAUUGAUUGGCUUAUAUGGUCUUUGUGCCUCUAAUCAAUUGUUGGAUUUUAACGGUUGAACGGAAAGGUUAAGUAUUUGCUAGUUUCUAGUGUCAAUGGAGUUAUUUGAUAUUUGUAGUA
Molecule: RNA transcript, 4015 nt
Organism: Zea mays
Lineage: Eukaryota; Viridiplantae; Streptophyta; Magnoliopsida; Poales; Poaceae
Gene name: small G protein signaling modulator 1
Exons: 12
Source: RefSeq, a predicted model, not a curated record